RNAcentral lists this ribosomal RNA (785 nucleotides) under uncultured bacterium. Its description in RNAcentral is "bacterial SSU rRNA". It matches the Rfam family "Bacterial small subunit ribosomal RNA", at positions 8 to 795 of the family's 1533-position model. The record is from RNAcentral.
AGAGUUUGAUCCUGGCUCAGAAUCAACGCUGGCGGCGUGCCUAACACAUGCAAGUCGAACGAGAAAGCGGGGGCAACCCCGUGAGUACAGUGGCAGACGGGUGAGUAACACGUGAACAACUUGCCCUCGAGUGUGGAAUAACCCCGCGAAAGCGGGGCUAAUACCGCGUAACAUCUCCGGGUCGCAUGGCCUGGGGAUCAAAGGCGAAAGUCGCUUGAGGAGAGGUUCGCGCCUGAUUAGCUAGUUGGUGAGGUAACGGCCCACCAAGGCGACGAUCAGUAGCCGGCCUGAGAGGGCGAACGGCCACACUGGAACUGAGACACGGUCCAGACUCCUACGGGAGGCAGCAGUGGGGAAUUUUGCGCAAUGGGCGAAAGCCUGACGCAGCAACGCCGCGUGGAGGAUGAAGGUCUUCGGAUCGUAAACUCCUGUCAGGGGGGACGAAUACCUUAACGGGUUUGACUGUACCCCCUGAGGAAGCCACGGCUAACUCCGUGCCAGCAGCCGCGGUAAUACGGAGGUGGCAAGCGUUGUUCGGAAUUACUGGGCGUAAAGGGCGCGUAGGCGGCAUGGCAAGUCAGAUGUGAAAGCCCCGGGCUUAACUCGGGAAUUGCAUCUGAAACUGCUUUGCUUGAGUCCUGGAGGGGGUAGUGGAAUUCCCAGUGUAGCGGUGAAAUGCGUAGAUAUUGGGAGGAACACCUGUGGCGAAGGCGGCUACCUGGACAGUGACUGACGCUGAUGCGCGAAAGCUAGGGGAGCAAACGGGAUUAGAUACCCUGGUAGUC